This 478-nucleotide ribosomal RNA is filed under the name uncultured bacterium. Its description in RNAcentral is "partial 16S ribosomal RNA". It matches the Rfam family "Bacterial small subunit ribosomal RNA", at positions 28 to 523 of the family's 1533-position model. The record is from RNAcentral.
GACGAACGCUGGCGGCGUGCUUAACACAUGCAAGUCGAACGGUAAGGCCCUUCGGGGUACACGAGUGGCGAACGGGUGAGUAACACGUGGGUGAUCUGCCCUGCACUGCGGGAUAAGGCUGGGAAACUGGGUACAAUACCGGAUAGGACCACUGCCUGCAUGGGUGGUGGUGGGAAGCUUUUGCGGUGUGGGAUGGGCCCGCGGCCUAUCAGCUUGUUGGUGGGGUGAUGGCCUACCAAGGCGACGACGGGUAGCCGGCCUGAGAGGGUGACCGGCCACACUGGGACUGAGAUACGGCCCAGACUCCUACGGGAGGCAGCAGUGGGGAAUAUUGCACAAUGGGUGCAAGCCUGAUGCAGCGACGCCGCGUGAGGGAUGACGGCCUUCGGGUUGUAAACCUCUUUCAGCACCGACGAAGCGCAAGUGACGGUAGGUGCAGAAGAAGGACCGGCCAACUACGUGCCAGCCGCCGCGGUAA